GCGGGUAUGGCAUAACGGCUGUGCACCAGCCUUCCAAGCUGGUUAUACGGGUUCGACCCCCGUUACCCGCU
RNAcentral lists this transfer RNA (71 nucleotides) under Victivallis vadensis. It matches the Rfam family "tRNA". From Rfam's summary of the family: Transfer RNA (tRNA) molecules are approximately 80 nucleotides in length. Lineage: Bacteria; Pseudomonadati; Lentisphaerota; Lentisphaeria; Victivallales; Victivallaceae. The record is from Rfam by way of RNAcentral.